This 253-nucleotide ribosomal RNA is filed under the name uncultured bacterium. RNAcentral describes it as "partial 16S ribosomal RNA". It matches the Rfam family "Bacterial small subunit ribosomal RNA", at positions 524 to 776 of the family's 1533-position model. The record is from RNAcentral.
UACGAAGGGGGCUAGCGUUGCUCGGAUUGACUGGGCGUAAAGGGCGCGUAGGCGGCCGUGGAAGUCAGGCGUGAAAGCCCCGGGCUCAACCUGGGAAUUGCGCUUGAUACUCCGGGGCUUGAGUUCGGGAGAGGAGAGUGGAAUUCCCAGUGUAGAGGUGAAAUUCGUAGAUAUUCGGAAGAACACCAGUGGCGAAGGCGGCUCACUGGCCCGUUACCGACGCUCAGGCGCGACAGCGUGGGGAGCAAACAGG